UAAGCGGAGGAAAAGAAACUAACAAGGAUUCCUCUAGUAACGGCGAGUGAAGCGGGAAGAGCUCAAAUUUGAAAUCUGGUAGCCUUCGGCUGCCCGAGUUGUAAUCUAGAGAAGUGUUUUCCGUGCCGGCCCAUGUACAAGUCCCUUGGAACAGGGCGUCAUAGAGGGUGAGAAUCCCGUCCUUGACAUGGACCCCCGGUGCUUUGUGAUACACUUUCAACGAGUCGAGUUGUUUGGGAAUGCAGCUCAAAAUGGGUGGUGAAUUCCAUCUAAAGCUAAAUAUUGGCGAGAGACCGAUAGCGAACAAGUACCGUGAGGGAAAGAUGAAAAGCACUUUGGAAAGAGAGUUAAACAGUACGUGAAAUUGUUGAAAGGGAAACGAUUGAAGUCAGUCAUGCUCUUUGGAUUCAGCCGUUCUGCGGUGUAUUUCCAUUGAGUGGGGUCAACAUCAGUUUUGAUCGCUGGAUAAAGGCACUAGGAAGGUAGCACUCUCGGGUGAACUUAUAGCCUAGCGUCAUAUACAGUGAUUGGGACUGAGGAACGCAGCAUGCCUUUAUGGCCGGGAUUCGUCCACGUACAUGCUUAGGAUGUUGACAUAAUGGCUUUAAACGACCC
RNAcentral lists this ribosomal RNA (615 nucleotides) under Naganishia uzbekistanensis. Its description in RNAcentral is "eukaryotic LSU rRNA". It matches the Rfam family "Eukaryotic large subunit ribosomal RNA", at positions 47 to 650 of the family's 3401-position model. The record is from RNAcentral. Lineage: Eukaryota; Fungi; Basidiomycota; Tremellomycetes; Filobasidiales; Filobasidiaceae.